Molecule: RNA transcript, 844 nt
Organism: Rhinopithecus roxellana (golden snub-nosed monkey)
Lineage: Eukaryota; Metazoa; Chordata; Mammalia; Primates; Cercopithecidae
Gene name: overexpressed in colon carcinoma 1 protein pseudogene
Exons: 1
Source: RefSeq, a predicted model, not a curated record
GACUGCGCGAUGGGCUGCGGGAACUCCACCGCCACAAGCGCGGGCGCGGGCAGAGGCCCUGCAGGAGCAGCCAAAGAUGUAACAGAAGAAUCCAUAACAGAAGAUGACAAGAGGAGAAACUAUGGAGGAGUAUAUGUUGGCUUACCAUCUGAAGCUGUCAAUAUGGUGUCCAGUCAAACAAAGACGCUUCGGAAAAAUUAGAAGAAAAUAACAUCAUGACUCAAGAAUCAAGAGCAUGCUCAUCAACUUGGAAGGAAUUUGGCUCCGUGGGACAUUGUAGUGCGCACAGACAUUUCCAAGGAAAUUCUAAACAGUCACCCUUCCCUCUUGCAUUCCCCCGAAUCUUAAGUGUGUACAUAAAACCCUGGGUACAUAUUGUUGUGGUAGUAGAAGGGAAUUGGUUAAACAGUACACUUUAUGGAACUUUCUGUGGCCACCUACAAAAGACAAGUUAACAAACUGUCAUGGAGGCUGCUGUUGCCUAGCCAGGGCUGCUGCGUUCUGGCAUUUCCACCGUGGCCACUCAACACAUUUCAUGGAGCUCAUGUCUUUUCACUGAUGCUUUUUGAUAGUUUUUAUAUAACAAAAUCUUUAUUCUAUUUAUAACUUGAGACGAUAAGGCACUGUAAAUGAAUGACCUAAAAUAAUACAUUUGUUAUCUUUUGGUAUUUCUACUUCACUUUAAUUUUUAGCUGUAAAAUUGGUACAUGGAUUCUUACAACUAUCUCUUUCUGUUUUUUACUGUUUGGUUUUCAAAUUUCAUUUAAAUGUCAGAAUUUCCUUUUUAGGAACAAUGUGUAUUUCAUUGCAAUAUUUAAAAAUAAACUCAAAUUUGCAUGCCAUA